GAUCAUGGCUCAGGAUGAACGCUAGCUACAGGCUUAACACAUGCAAGUCGAGGGGAAACGACAUCGAAAGCUUGCUUUUGAUGGGCGUCGACCGGCGCACGGGUGAGUAACGCGUAUCCAACCUGCCCACCACUUGGGGAUAACCUUGCGAAAGUAAGACUAAUACCCGAUGAUAUCUCUAGACGACAUCUGAAAGGGAUUAAAGAUUUAUCGGUGAUGGAUGGGGAUGCGUCUGAUUAGCUUGUUGGCGGGGUAACGGCCCACCAAGGCAACGAUCAGUAGGGGUUCUGAGAGGAAGGUCCCCCACAUUGGAACUGAGACACGGUCCAAACUCCUACGGGAGGCAGCAGUGAGGAAUAUUGGUCAAUGGGCGAGAGCCUGAACCAGCCAAGUAGCGUGCAGGACGACGGCCCUAUGGGUUGUAAACUGCUUUUAUAAGGGAAUAAAGUGAGUCUCGUGAGACUUUUUGCAUGUACCUUAUGAAUAAGGACCGGCUAAUUCCGUG
Molecule: ribosomal RNA, 505 nt
Filed under: uncultured bacterium
Lineage: Bacteria
Description: bacterial SSU rRNA
Rfam family: Bacterial small subunit ribosomal RNA
Source: RNAcentral